Molecule: ribosomal RNA, 253 nt
Filed under: uncultured bacterium
Lineage: Bacteria
Description: partial 16S ribosomal RNA
Rfam family: Bacterial small subunit ribosomal RNA
Source: RNAcentral
UACAGAGGUGGCAAGCGUUGUUCGGAAUUACUGGGCGUAAAGGGCGCGUAGGCGGCCUUCUAAGUCAGACGUGAAAUCCCUCGGCUUAACCGGGGAACUGCGUCUGAUACUGGAUGGCUUGAGUUUGGGAGAGGGACGCGGAAUUCCAGGUGUAGCGGUGAAAUGCGUAGAUAUCUGGAGGAACACCGGUGGCGAAGGCGGCGUCCUGGACCAAUACUGACACUGAAACGCGAAAGCCAGGGGAGCAAACGGG